Molecule: non-coding RNA, 925 nt
Organism: Punica granatum (pomegranate)
Lineage: Eukaryota; Viridiplantae; Streptophyta; Magnoliopsida; Myrtales; Lythraceae
Source: RefSeq, a predicted model, not a curated record
UAUUCACUCAUGUUUAAAAAUUUGCACCUGUCAAUUCCUUCUUCUCCUCCUACCAUGCCCCGUUAUAAAUGUUAUAUUAUCAUAUAAAUAUGUGUGUUAUAGAAAUUAGGUAAAAAAAAUGACUUGCAAAAUAAAAAAUUUAAUAAUCCAUUUGUAUUCAAGUUACAAAACUUUAAUUUUAAUUUUGAUUUUGAUUGAGGAAAAUAAAAAAAAAAAAAAUGUACGCUGCACAGGUGAAAUAUGAGGCAUGUCAGAGAUGAAUCAGUCAAAUGCAAAAUUAGUAUUUUUUUAUAUAUAUAUAUAUAUAUAUAUAUAUAUCGGUUGCUAAAACAGAGAAGCCUCCACAUUGCUAGGCUUCCCGAUGAUGCAAGAAUUGCAAUCUCUCAGUUGAGACCGGAUCUCCUCCCAUUUCUUGCAAAGUGCAGUUCGUUCUCGAAGAUUUUCCAAUUUCAGGGUUUUCUGGGGAGAGAAUGGAUUUGGAUCUUACAAGAGGGACGGAGAGAGUGGAUUCUAGGUGUUGUCUGCCACUUUGAGGAUGGACUUCUUAGUACUUAAAGGCCCGCCCCCCGUUUUUUUUUUUUUUUUUCCUUUCCUGCUCUUUGAUCCCUCUGCUGAGUGUCUCUAUAAUGACCCUUAGUCCAUAUCCAAAGCAACGAGCAAUUUUCAAAAGAAACAUAGAAGCAUAGCAAUCCCGAUAAAAUCCUUAAAGAAAAUUUCACGUGCAAUGCACGUGUAUAUCUACCUAGGCGGUUGGAGCUUGGCCACCAUGUCCAGUGGCUACCCCAAAAAUGGUGAUCUCUUGGCAUCUUUGCUUUUUGAAGCUGGAGUUAUAAGGCUUCUCAUUUUGGUCCCAGUGUUCCAUCUCAAGCGAUUAUUAUCAUAGCCAUUUGAAAUUCAAGUUCAUAAUCAAAGGGUUUUUCGACAA